This 397-nucleotide transfer-messenger RNA is filed under the name Flavobacteriaceae. RNAcentral's name for it is "DT-34 sp013215095 Standard tmRNA". It matches the Rfam family "transfer-messenger RNA". From Rfam's summary of the family: Bacterial tmRNA, also known as 10Sa RNA or SsrA, is named for its dual tRNA and mRNA-like properties. Its role is to liberate the mRNA from a stalled ribosome. To accomplish this part of the tmRNA is used as a reading frame that ends in a translation stop signal. RNAcentral also lists the same sequence under 1 other name. Lineage: Bacteria; Pseudomonadati; Bacteroidota; Flavobacteriia; Flavobacteriales. The record is from RNAcentral.
GGGGUCGACUGGUUUUGACAGCGAGAUCUAUGGAACUGUAAGCACGCCGCGUAAUGAUAAUGACACGCGUUAAAGGCCUUAUCAAAUUUUAAUCGGCGAGAAUAACUACGCUUUAGCUGCUUAAUAACUGAAUUAUAGUAAGUUCAAGCCCCGGCACACAAGGUGUGCAAGCUAAAUGUCUCUUGAAAGCCUUGGUUUAUGGCGUUCUAAUUAGAGACAUCGAAAAAGUAAACCUAGAGUUUCUAGAGCUUCUAUAGAAACUCGAAAAUUAAGAAGCUAAGUUCUAAGUAGGCCGUUUUUAGUCAGCUUAUUAUCGAAAAUUAAAUAAAAACUAAGCGUGUAGAAAGCACUUUUGUAGCUUGUUUGGACGAGGGUUCGAUUCCCUCCGACUCCACUG